RNAcentral lists this ribosomal RNA (498 nucleotides) under uncultured bacterium. RNAcentral describes it as "partial 16S ribosomal RNA". It matches the Rfam family "Bacterial small subunit ribosomal RNA", at positions 28 to 523 of the family's 1533-position model. The record is from RNAcentral.
GAUGAACGCUAGCGGCAGGCCUAAUACAUGCAAGUCGAGGGAGAAUGUUGGAUUCGUCUGACAUGAAACCGGCGCACGGGUGCGUAACACGUAUGCAACCUACCUUUAACUGGGGUAUAGCUCAGAGAAAUCUGAAUUAAUCCCCCAUAAGACUACGACAUGGCAUCAUGAUGUAGUUAAAGCUCCGGCGGUUAAGGAUGGGCAUGCGGUACAUUAGCUAGUUGGUGAGGUAAUGGCUCACCAAGGCUACGAUGUAUAGGGGGUCUGAGAGGAUGAUGCCCCACACUGGUACUGUGACACGGACCAGACUCCGACGGGAGGCAGCAGUAGGGAAUAUUGGUCAAUGGACGCAAGUCUGAACCAGCCAUGCCGCGUGAAGGAUGAAGGCCCUAUGGGUCGUAAACUUCUUUUAUUAGGGAAGAAAAAACGGGACGUGUCCUGUACUGACGGUACUUAAUGAAUAAGGAUCGGCUAACUUCGUGCCAGCCGCCGCCGUAA